Molecule: ribosomal RNA, 301 nt
Filed under: uncultured bacterium
Lineage: Bacteria
Description: partial 16S ribosomal RNA
Rfam family: Bacterial small subunit ribosomal RNA
Source: RNAcentral
CAGCCGCCGCGGUAAUACGAAGGGUGCAAGCGUUACUCGGAAUUACUGGGCGUAAAGCGUGCGUAGGUGGUGGUUUAAGUCCGUUGUGAAAGCCCUGGGCUCAACCAGGGAAUUGCAGUGGAUACUGGCUCGCUAGAGUGUGUCGGAGGAUGGUGGAAUUCCCGGUGUAGCGGUGAAGUGCGUAGAGAUCGGGAGGAACAUCAGUGGCGAAGGCGGCCAUCUGGGACAACACUGACGCUGAGGCACGAAAGCGUGGGGAGCAAACAGGAUUAGAUACCCGAGUAGUCCCUGUCUCUUAUAC